UAUAAUGAUCAAGGGUAAAUUGGAUCAAGUAGAGAGUAAAAACAAUAAGUUCAAGAUCAAUGUGGGCAAGCCUAGUCUUAGCUCGUGUUUCUAGAUCGUCGUUAUGUAUUGUGUAUUGUUUUGAGCUCUAAUAUGUGGUGUAUGUUGAUGUAAAAUGAUUGGUGAGUUUAUUUUGAGGAUAUAUUGAUGAUAUAAAAGUUGGACAUAAAGUGGAAAUAACA
This 221-nucleotide long non-coding RNA is filed under the name Capsicum annuum. RNAcentral describes it as "long non-coding RNA (CANN_LNC014294)". Lineage: Eukaryota; Viridiplantae; Streptophyta; Magnoliopsida; Solanales; Solanaceae. The record is from RNAcentral.